Molecule: ribosomal RNA, 479 nt
Filed under: uncultured bacterium
Lineage: Bacteria
Description: partial 16S ribosomal RNA
Rfam family: Bacterial small subunit ribosomal RNA
Source: RNAcentral
UGGGGAAUAUUGGACAAUGGGCGCAAGCCUGAUCCAGCCAUGCCGCGUGUGUGAUGAAGGCCUUAGGGUUGUAAAGCACUUUCGCCGAUGAAGAUAAUGACUGUAGUCGGAGAAGAAGCCCCGGCUAACUUCGUGCCAGCAGCCGCGGUAAUACGAAGGGGGCAAGCGUUGUUCGGAUUUACUGGGCGUAAAGCGUACGUAGGCGGAUGAUUAAGUCAGGGGUGAAAUCCCGGGCUCAACCUCGGAACUGCCUUUGAUACUGGUCGUCUUGAGUCCGGGAGAGGUGAGUGGAACUCCUAGUGUAGAGGUGAAAUUCGUAGAUAUUAGGAAGAACACCAGUGGCGAAGGCGGCUCACUGGCCCGGAACUGACGCUGAGGUACGAAAGCGUGGGGAGCAAACAGGAUUAGAUACCCUGGUAGUCCACGCCGUAAACGAUGGAUGCUAGCCGUCGGGGAGCUUGCUCUUCGGUGGCGCAGCU